GAGUUUGAUCCUGGCUCAGAUUGAACGCUGGCGGCAUGCCUUACACAUGCAAGUCGAACGGCAGCACGGGGGCAACCCUGGUGGCGAGUGGCGAACGGGUGAGUAAUACAUCGGAACGUGUCCUGUAGUGGGGGAUAGCCCGGCGAAAGCCGGAUUAAUACCGCAUACGAUCUACGGAAGAAAGCGGGGGAUCCUUCGGGACCUCGCGCUAUAGGGGCGGCCGAUGGCAGAUUAGCUAGUUGGUGGGGUAAAGGCCUACCAAGGCGACGAUCUGUAGCUGGUCUGAGAGGACGACCAGCCACACUGGGACUGAGACACGGCCCAGACUCCUACGGGAGGCAGCAGUGGGGAAUUUUGGACAAUGGGGGAAACCCUGAUCCAGCAAUGCCGCGUGUGUGAAGAAGGCCUUCGGGUUGUAAAGCACUUUUGUCCGGAAAGAAAACUUCUGCCCUAAUACGGCGGGAGGAUGACGGUACCGGAAGAAUAAGCACCGGCUAACUACGUGCCAGCAGCCGCGGUAAUACG
This 525-nucleotide ribosomal RNA is filed under the name uncultured eubacterium WR128. Its description in RNAcentral is "bacterial SSU rRNA". It matches the Rfam family "Bacterial small subunit ribosomal RNA", at positions 9 to 527 of the family's 1533-position model. The record is from RNAcentral.